GAUGAACGCUGGCGGCGUGCCUAAUACAUGCAAGUCGAGCGAACGGACGAGAAGCUUGCUUCUCUGAUGUUAGCGGCGACGGGUGAGUAACACGUGGGUAACCUACCUAUAAGGCUGGGAUAACUUCGGGAAACCGGAGCUAAUAACGGGUAAUAUUUUGAACCGCAUGGGUCAAAAGUGAAAGACGGUCUUGCUUUCACUUAAUGAUGGAUCCGCGCUGCAUUAGCUAGUUUGUAAGGUAACGGCUUACCAAGGCAACGAUGCAUAGCCGACCUGAGAGGGUGAUCGGCCACACUGGAACUGAGACACGGUCCAGACUCCUACGGGAGGCAGCAGUAGGGAAUCUUCCGCAAUGGGCGAAAGCCUGACGGAGCAACGCCGCGUGAGUGAUGAAGGUCUUCGGAUCGUAAAACUCUGUUAUUAGGGAAGAACAUAUGUGUAAGUAACUGUGCACAUCUUGACGGUACCUAAUCAGAAAGCCACGGCUAACUACGUG
RNAcentral lists this ribosomal RNA (496 nucleotides) under uncultured bacterium. Its description in RNAcentral is "partial 16S ribosomal RNA". It matches the Rfam family "Bacterial small subunit ribosomal RNA", at positions 28 to 507 of the family's 1533-position model. The record is from RNAcentral.